GACUUGCUCCGGUGGAGAAUGGGGAGCUACUGAGUGUUGCCCAAUUGGGCUGCGACAAAAUGAAAGCAGGAAGGAAGAUGUCACAAGGGCAGUGAUCUCUCUUUUCUCCUUCUUCUUCUGCAUUUUCCUGAGCUGCCCCCUCUCAUCACAUUUUCCUCAGGGUUUCUCAACUGCAAACUGACAACCAAGCCUCUCGGGGAAGAUGGAAAACACCCAAGUGGGGCAACAUCCUCCAGUAAAUGGAAAAGGCACUGAAGCGACUGGCACACAGUGGGUCCAGGGAGCAGGAUGGAGUGAGGGGAAGGGCUCUGGGGGUGGCCGGGGCUACCGCUGCUGCUCUAGGUCUCAGGUAAGGAGAGGCAGGGAGAGGGAUGUAGAUGGCCAAGGGGAGGUACCUACUAAGAGGGGUUUUCUCUCAUUUCUUAAGGAGGGACUGGAAUGAGAUCAGGGUAUGUACAUGUUAGAGACAGGAAAGCAAGAAAGGAAGGUCAUGAAUGCGGACUGUGCUGGUUGACUCCGUCCCAUCAGGGAUUGGAUGAUGAAAUAGAAGGUAGAGGUUCUUCUAGAGCAUCUUGAGGUUGAGAAAAUUAUGUGAAGUCAAACAAACAAUCUCUCAUCGCUGUGCUGAUAUCCUGGGAGAUGUCAAGAAGUGUAAGGCAGUCUCCCCCUAAAGGAAUCAGGCGCUAAGGCAUAGGAGCCUUAAUAGAGGAAAAGGCAAAUGACGACAAAAGGGUCAAGCAGCAACAUGAAGGCAAAACUACGGUGGAAGUCACUCUAGCAAGCCACAGAGAGGGGAUGUGGAAAGAAGGAGACAGAGGGAGGUCUGAACACACACAGAAGAGAAGGUGAUGCGGAGAUGGAACAGAGAGAUUUGAAGAUGCUGGCUUUGAAGACUGGAGUGAUACAGUCACAAGCCAAAGAACGUUGGCACCCACUGGAAGCUGGAGGAAGCAAGGGCUAGAUUCUUCCCUAGAGUCUCUGAAGGGAUCACAGCCUUGCCAAUACCUUGAUCCUGGAUCAGUGAUACUGACUUCAGACUUCUGGCCUCCAGAACUGUGAGAGAAUACAUUUCUAUUGUCUUAAGCCACCACAUUUGCAGUAAUAGGAAACAAAUGCAGGAUGUGACUGCUAACGGGCAUGGGGCUUCAUUUUGGGGUGACGAAAUGUUCUAAAACUGGACUGUGGUGGCGAAAUGUUCUAAAA
Molecule: long non-coding RNA, 1203 nt
Organism: Aethalodelphis obliquidens (Pacific white-sided dolphin)
Lineage: Eukaryota; Metazoa; Chordata; Mammalia; Artiodactyla; Delphinidae
Exons: 2
Source: RefSeq, a predicted model, not a curated record